GACGAACGCUGGCGGUAUGCUUAACACAUGCAAGUCGAACGAGAAGUCUUUUAUUGAACCUUCGGGGGAUAUAAGAGACAGACAGUGGCGAACGGGUGAGUAACGCGUGGGCAACCUACCUAUCGGAGCGGGAUAGCCUCGAGAAAUCGGGAGUAAAACCGCAUAACACGGAUAUAUCGCAUGAUGAAUCCGUCAAAACUCCGGUGCCGAUAGAUGGGCCCGCGUCUGAUUAGCUAGUUGGUAAGGUAAGGGCUUACCAAGGCAACGAUCAGUAGCCGGUCUGAGAGGGCGAACGGCCACACUGGAACUGAGACACGGUCCAGACUCCUACGGGAGGCAGCAGUGGGGAAUAUUGCGCAAUGGGGGCAACCCUGACGCAGCAAUACCGCGUGAGUGAAGAAGGUUUUCGGAUCGUAAAGCUCUGUUAUUUGGGGAAAGAAAGCCAGGGACG
RNAcentral lists this ribosomal RNA (451 nucleotides) under Pseudoramibacter alactolyticus. RNAcentral describes it as "bacterial SSU rRNA". It matches the Rfam family "Bacterial small subunit ribosomal RNA", at positions 28 to 462 of the family's 1533-position model. The record is from RNAcentral. Lineage: Bacteria; Bacillati; Bacillota; Clostridia; Eubacteriales; Eubacteriaceae.